GGAGGAAUCUCUGGAGAGAGUCGCACUACUUUGUUGUAGAAAGCGACCGCCGAAGGAGCAAGCCCAUAUUGGGUGAAACUCUCAGGCAAAAAGGACAGAGGAGUGGAA
This 108-nucleotide non-coding RNA is filed under the name Vibrio sp. RNAcentral describes it as "Glycine sequence". It matches the Rfam family "Glycine riboswitch aptamer". From Rfam's summary of the family: This family represents the bacterial glycine riboswitch. Glycine riboswitches usually consist of two metabolite-binding aptamers domains with similar structures in tandem. Lineage: Bacteria; Pseudomonadati; Pseudomonadota; Gammaproteobacteria; Vibrionales; Vibrionaceae. The record is from RNAcentral.